This 307-nucleotide unclassified non-coding RNA is filed under the name plant metagenome. Its description in RNAcentral is "partial contains 5.8S ribosomal RNA, internal transcribed spacer 2, and large subunit ribosomal RNA". The stretch from base 1 to 105 matches the Rfam family "5.8S ribosomal RNA", at positions 50 to 154 of the family's 154-position model. The record is from RNAcentral.
GAAAUGCGAUAAGUAGUGUGAAUUGCAGAAUUCAGUGAAUCAUCGAAUCUUUGAACGCACAUUGCGCCCUUUGGUAUUCCAAAGGGCAUGCCUGUUCGAGCGUCAUUUGUACCCUCAAGCUUUGCUUGGUGUUGGGCGUCUUGUCUCUAGCUUUGCUGGAGACUCGCCUUAAAGUAAUUGGCAGCCGGCCUACUGGUUUCGGAGCGCAGCACAAGUCGCACUCUCUAUCAGUAAAGGUCUAGCAUCCAUUAAGCCUUUUUUCAACUUUUGACCUCGGAUCAGGUAGGGAUACCCGCUGAACUUAAGC